This 478-nucleotide ribosomal RNA is filed under the name uncultured bacterium. Its description in RNAcentral is "partial 16S ribosomal RNA". It matches the Rfam family "Bacterial small subunit ribosomal RNA", at positions 28 to 523 of the family's 1533-position model. The record is from RNAcentral.
GACGAACGCUGGCGGCGUGCUUAACACAUGCAAGUCGAACGGUAAGGCCCUUCGGGGUACACGAGUGGCAAACGGGUGAGUAACACGUGGGUGAUCUGCCCUGCACUUCGGGAUAAGCCUGGGAAACUGGGGCUAAUACCGGAUAGGACCACUGCCUGCAUGGGUGGUGGUGGAAAGCUUUUGCGGUGUGGGAUGGGCCCGGGGCCUAUCAGCUUGUUGGUGGGGUGAUCGCCUAGCAAGGCGACGACGGGGAGCCGGCCUGAGAGGGUGACCGGCCACACUGGGACUGAGAUACGGCCCAGACUCCUACGGGAGGCAGCAGUGGGGAAUAUUGUACAAUGGGCGCAAGCCUGAUGCAGCGACGCCGCGUGAGGGAUGACGGCCUUCGGGUUGUAAACCUCUUUCAGCACCGACGAAGCGCAAGUGACGGUAGGUGCAGAAGAAGGACCGGCCAACUACGUGCCAGCCGCCGCCGUAA